RNA transcript from Lates calcarifer (barramundi perch), 2580 nucleotides. It is a transcript of the gene named WAP four-disulfide core domain 1, with no coding region annotated. Lineage: Eukaryota; Metazoa; Chordata; Actinopteri; Centropomidae. The record is from RefSeq and is a predicted model, not a curated record. The transcript has 7 exons.
UACUCUCCCCUCCCUCCUUUCACCUCCCCUCCUCUCUCCCAGAGACAUGUGCACACGCUGUGCCAGCAGACAGUUUCAGCUCUGGACAACUGAUGCAGGGACAGCUGCUGUUUCUCCCUUCCCCUCCUUUUUGCUCCCCUAACUAUUCUCCUCUUUUCAUUUCUUCCCUACACUGCCUUCAUUCAUCCCCUCUGUACUUUCCCCUUGCUUUCCUCUACUUUGUCAUUCUGCCCUGCACUUUUCCUCAGGCGGAUAUAAAGGCAGGUCCUGUUGGACGGAGAGGGGCUUGUGUAAUCUCUGGCUGCACAUGAGCACCAGAGAGUUACUGCUUCAGCUGGAAAGGCACCACAACAGAGGACGUGGAAACGACUAGAGGACAAACUUUGGAAUAAGCAAAAGAAGAAGGAAUACCUCCAAGACAGGAAGGGAGGAGAAGGAAAGAGACAGAGAGAAAGAGAGAGAGAGAGAGAGAGUUUGGAGUUGGGGUGCAGGACACAGACCAUGCCGGGCUCUGCGGUGGUGCUGCUGCUGCUGUCCCUGUUGGUCCUAUCCACAGGAAGUGAUGCCAGACGAAUCAGGAAAAGAGGACUCAACCAUAAGGACUACGAGUACCCCAACCACCCCCAGUCCACACAGCACCAGAAGAAUGACCGGUGUCCGCCCCCACCCCAGAUGCUGCCAGAGCGAGCCUGCGAGGUACCAGGCUGCCGCUCGGACUCAGAGUGCGAACGCCAUAAACGCUGCUGCUACAACGGCUGCAUCUACGCCUGCCUGGAGUCUGUUCAGCCACCACCAGUGCUGGACUGGCUGGUGCAGCCUAAGCCUCGGUGGUUGGGUGGUAACGGCUGGCUGCUAGACGGCCCUGAGGAGGUUCUGCAAGCUGAGGCCUGCAGUACAACUGAGGAUGGAGACGAGCCACUCCACUGUCCCACAGGCUACGAGUGCCACAUCAUCAACCCAGGAAACCCUGCUGCAGGCAUCCCUAACCGGGGACAGUGCAUUAAGCAACGUGGGAACUCUGAUGGUCGUGGCUUGAGGCACAAAUACUUUAAGGACUACAAGGACUACUUAGGUAAGUGAGGUACCAGUUCUAACAAUGCAGUAGGCUACGAAAAACAUCAUCACAAGCACCUGGGAUGAAAUCAGCCAUGACCUCAGCCUCAGCUACGACCAUAACUCAACCUCAGACAUCAGCCCAGUCCUGUUCGAUCUGCUCUCAUCACACAUGAACCAGGAUCAGAUCUCACCUUUUUACUACCCCGACAGCUGCUACCUCCUCUUUGCAAAGCCCCGUGUUUUUUUUUUUCUUUUUCUUUUUUUUUAACAGCCUCUCCUCAGUCACGACGUUCUUUGGGACGCAAGUCUGAUGCACCUACAGCCAAAGAAAUAAGUGCUUUUUUUGUCUCUCUGUCUGAUAGCUGUGAAACGAAGGAGCAGAGGGUGUUGAUGGUGAAGCAGAUGAAGAGAGAGCAGGGUGUGCACCAAAGCUGUUUUUAUCAAAAAAUCUCAAAGGAAGUAAGGAAACCUUGCCAUUUUUAUCAUUUCUUUACAACCUGCCUAAGUACCACUCAUUCUUACUCUCAUGACGCGGACAAACUCUCUAACAUGAAGGCUGGUCAGCAGAGAAAAUCAAGACCAUAUGGCCUUAUUGCUCAUUCUGUUAAGGAUGGCUGCUCAAAUUUCCUCAAAUCUGGAAUGUUUUAUAGACAAAUAAGAGAAAAUCCAGAUGUAAUGGUUGCUUCUUUGAAUUGAAUCCAAAUGUGAAUUAAAAUUCUUCUUAAUUAUAUGAAUAAAUGCCAUAUGAGGGUGUGGAUUCUGUCAGUUUUGAUGGAUUUGGAAAAGCUGUGGGUUGGUUUCAGCCAGCAGAUGCAGACCAUGACAUCACUACCAUGAAAAACAAAAGUGAAAUAAGAUUUUUAUUUUUUUUUUAAAGUUUAUUUUAGGGGACCAGUUGAGCCUGUGAAGGAGAAAACCUUGAACAGCUUUUAAAAGCCACCUUUAAAUGAGCCCACAGAGGGCAAGUGUUUGAUCCUGACAAGAUAGAUUUUAAAUAAUUCACCAAAAUAAAUGCCUUUACUGAGGCGAGUCACGUAAGAAAUUUCUACCAGCGCUGUGCGAUUAUGCAAGUGUUUCAUAAUUUUCAUGUGUGUGUGUGUGUUUGCAUGUGUGUGAGUCAUCUGGUGACAAAUUUAGCUUAUCUGACAAACAAAAUAAUCCAGUCUGCCUAUUAAGCGAUCACACUAUCACAACCCAAUGUCGCAGUAUAUAAGCAUGAUAAUAGAAAGUGCUUUUUGCAUAGAGCAGAUAUUUAAAUUGCCAAUUAGAUCUCAUGUGUUAUUCUCAAACUUAACUUCAGUCAACUGUUCAACUCAAGUUGUGUCUCUUAUCGACUCAAAUGGUGCUCACUCUCAUUGCUGCCUAUAAUAACAGAAUAAUAAGCUGGUCAUAUAAUAAGCUGAAGGUGCAAAACAAAAGCUGUAACCAUUCUCUGUGUGCGGAACAAAGUGAUGUCUGGAUGUUGCUAUCUGACUGGUGCUGUAAUGCUGCCUUGUUUAUUCUAAAUAAACCACAUUGUUGGAA